Leptidea sinapis is the source of this 750-nucleotide long non-coding RNA. RefSeq lists it as uncharacterized. The record is from RefSeq and is a predicted model, not a curated record. The transcript has 6 exons. Lineage: Eukaryota; Metazoa; Arthropoda; Insecta; Lepidoptera; Pieridae.
UGGCCUUAUUGGCUGAAGUCAAACAUAGCUAUCAAAAAUCCAGUUUCAGUGCCAUCUGGAUCCUUGCUGCUCAAGAGGCAGCGUUUGGCGGGAAAACUGUUUUAUCAAUGGGCAGAAGCUAUCGGCAAUAGGUUGGAGGAAAUGUUAGUGGAGGAUAAGAAACAUUUGGAUACCGUUGUCAGCCUGGUGACAGAUGCUGACGGCCAGAGGGAGCUGCUGCAGCAAGAUGAGGAGGAAGACUUCCUAGAUGAAGCAAGUAUUCGCCUGCCCGACAAAACGAUUGGAGCCGAUUGUCCACGUGCGUUGCGAAUGGUAGCGUGCGUCCUGCUCUUCGAAAUCACAGCGUUCUUGAGAGAAACCUACCAGAAUCUUCAAAAAUCUUGCCGUUCCUCGCUAAAAGAAAGAGGACCUUGGGACCGUGUAUACAGGGAAGCGAAUCGCCGUUGGAGUAUGGCAUUAUCGAGUAUGGGACACUCGCAAGCUUCGGCUCAGAGCCUGCAGUCUAUUGCUGGGGUUGAGACUGAGAGGAAAAUAUCCUUCGUGUUGCAUGAGCCCGAGAACGUGUCUGGCGGCAGUAACGUUACGUUAGCAGAUGCCAUACCGGGUUCAGUCGAUGAUAAAAAGGGUCGUACAUUGACCUCACGCGGAAAAACGGGGAUUCACAGACGUAUCACUCAACAGGCGCAUGCUGCUUACGGUUCCUUCAAGCGACGCUCCAUAAAAUUACGACAGAAAGAUACCCGGGAAACU